RNAcentral lists this non-coding RNA (21 nucleotides) under Caenorhabditis elegans. The record is from RNAcentral. Lineage: Eukaryota; Metazoa; Nematoda; Chromadorea; Rhabditida; Rhabditidae.
UGUGGAUUCGAUAGGUUGAAC